AUGGCUCAGAAAAUGAACUCUUCCCUUGGCCUUACGAUUAUACUCUUCUUAGUGCUUGGAGAAAGCAAUGGAGACUCGGUUACUCAGACAGAAGGCCAAGUGACACUCUCUGAAGGGAGUUCUAUGACUGUGAAUUGUUCCUAUGAAACCAAACAGUACCCUUCCCUGUUCUGGUAUGUGCAGUAUCCUGGAGAAGGUCCACAGCUCCUCUUUAGAGCCUCAAAGGCCAACGACAAGGGAAGCAGCAGAGGGUUUGAAGCCACAUAUGAUAAAGGAACCACCUCCUUCCACUUGCAGAAAGCCUCAGUGCAAGAGUCAGACUCGGCUGUGUACUACUGUGCUCUGGGUGACACAGUGACAUUAACUGCAGGGGGAGCUGAGCACAAAAUCUGA
Non-coding RNA from Meriones unguiculatus (Mongolian gerbil), 393 nucleotides. Lineage: Eukaryota; Metazoa; Chordata; Mammalia; Rodentia; Muridae. The record is from the annotation of a RefSeq genome assembly.